GUGAGGAAUUUUCCGCAAUGGGCGAAAGCCUGACGGAGCAAUGCCGCGUGAAGGAUGAAGGCCUAUGGGUUGUAAACUUCUUUUCUCAGAAAAGAAUUAUGACGGUAUCUGAGGAAUAAGCAUCGGCUAACUCUGUGCCAGCAGCCGCGGUAAGACAGAGGAUGCAAGCGUUAUCCGGAAUGAUUGGGCGUAAAGCGUCUGUAGGUUGUUUAAAAAGUAUUCUGUCAAAGAUUAGGGCUUAACCCUAGAUAGGCAGAAUAAACUUUUAAGCUAGAGUUUGGUAGAGGCAGAAGGAAUUCCCGGUGGAGCUGUGAAAUGCGUAGAUAUCGGGAGGAACACCAAAGGCGAAGGCACUCUGCUGGGCCAAUACUAACACUGAGAGACGAAAGCGAGGGGAGCAAAUGGGAUUAGAAACCCUAGUAGUCC
RNAcentral lists this ribosomal RNA (426 nucleotides) under uncultured bacterium. Its description in RNAcentral is "partial 16S ribosomal RNA". It matches the Rfam family "Bacterial small subunit ribosomal RNA", at positions 354 to 796 of the family's 1533-position model. The record is from RNAcentral.